GAAACAUUAAAUGAAAAAUUGUGUCCACAUUAAAUGAAUACAGUAGAAGAGAAUAAUAUCGAGUUCCGAUACACGAAAAUACUUUUUUCAGCCUCAUUUUCAUUCCACUUUUUCCCGCGCUUAUGACGUCACACAUCUCGUCGCGUUUACAUCGCCACGAGACUGAACUGAGCUGUGUACAUGCGAUAUUAAGCAGAUUCAACUACAAAGAAGUAAACAUACAAAGAUGACAGAAGAAGGGCAAAAUGAAAGCAGAGAUGACCAAACAGAAGAAAAUAGCAAAGACAAAAAAGAAAAAACGAAAAAACGAUGCUAUAGAUGCGGGCGUGUCGGGCAUAUUGCCCGACACUGCCCGCGCAAACGCUCGAAAAGAAGACAAGGCUGGAAGAUGCCGUACAGCGUCAACAUCUACUUUCAUGGACGAUAAUAAUUAAAAAAAUAAUUAAAAAAAUGUCGGCACUUACUCAUUGUUUGUUUUCCCUUUUUUUCGUACAGUUGACUCUCUUUGAACGACCACUCUCGUAAGCGACCAUAUCCCGUAUGCGACCAUGCACGUUUUAAAUUUGCCGUUAUAAUUGUUCCCCAUAUAAACUCU
Molecule: long non-coding RNA, 595 nt
Organism: Exaiptasia diaphana
Lineage: Eukaryota; Metazoa; Cnidaria; Anthozoa; Actiniaria; Aiptasiidae
Exons: 5
Source: RefSeq, a predicted model, not a curated record